UCCGUAGGCGGAUUGAUAAGUCAGAGGUGAAAUCCCACAGCUUAACUGUGGAACUGCCUUUGAAACUGUUAGUCUUGAGUUAUAUGGAAGUAGAUAGAAUGUGUAGUGUAGCGGUGAAAUGCAUAGAGAUUACACAGAAUACCGAUUGCGAAGGCAGUCUACUACGUAUAUACUGACGCUAAUGGACGAAAGCGUGGGGAGCAAACAGGAUUAGAUACCCUGGUAGUCC
Molecule: ribosomal RNA, 229 nt
Filed under: uncultured bacterium
Lineage: Bacteria
Description: partial 16S ribosomal RNA
Rfam family: Bacterial small subunit ribosomal RNA
Source: RNAcentral